ACAUGCAAGUCGAACGGUGAAGCCCAGCUUGCUGGGUGGAUCAGUGGCGAACGGGUGAGUAACACGUGAGUAACCUGCCCCUGACUCUGGGAUAAGCCUUGGAAACGAGGUCUAAUACCGGAUACGAGACGCUCGGGCAUCCGAAGUGUCUGGAAAGAUUUAUCGGUCAGGGAUGGACUCGCGGCCUAUCAGCUUGUUGGUGGGGUAGUGGCCCACCAAGGCGACGACGGGUAGCCGGCCUGAGAGGGCGACCGGCCACACUGGGACUGAGACACGGCCCAGACUCCUACGGGAGGCAGCAGUGGGGAAUAUUGCACAAUGGGCGCAAGCCUGAUGCAGCGACGCCGCGUGAGGGAUGAAGGCCUUCGGGUUGUAAACCUCUUUCAGCAGGGAAGAAGCGCAAGUGACGGUACCUGCAGAAGAAGCGCCGGCUAACUACGUGCCAGCAGCCGCGGUAAUACGUAGGGCGCAAGCGUUGUCCGGAAUUAUUGGGCGUAAAGAGCUCGUAGGCGGUUUGUCGCGUCUGCUGUGAAAACUCGAGGCUCAACCUCGGGCUUGCAGUGGGUACGGGCAGACUAGAGUGCGGUAGGGGAGACUGGAAUUCCUGGUGUAGCGGUGGAAUGCGCAGAUAUCAGGAGGAACACCGAUGGCGAAGGCAGGUCUCUGGGCCGCAACUGACGCUGAGGAGCGAAAGCAUGGGGA
Molecule: ribosomal RNA, 702 nt
Filed under: Cellulomonas sp.
Lineage: Bacteria; Bacillati; Actinomycetota; Actinomycetes; Micrococcales; Cellulomonadaceae
Description: bacterial SSU rRNA
Rfam family: Bacterial small subunit ribosomal RNA
Source: RNAcentral